GAUGAAGAACGUAGCGAAAUGCGAUAAGUAAUGCGAAUUGCAGAAUUCAGUGAAUCAUCGAAUCUUUGAACGCACAUUGCGCCCGCCAGUAUUCUGGCGGGCAUGCCUGUUCGAGCGUCAUUUCAACCAUCAAGCCUCAGGCUUGUGUUGGAGCCCUGCGGCUGCCGCAGCCUCCCAAAACCAGUGGCGGGCUCGCUAUCACACCGAGUGCAGUAGUUUACUCUUCGCUCAGGGCGUGUGGCGGGUGCUAGCCGUGAAACCCCCAACUUCUCAAGGUUGACCUCGGAUCAGGUAGGAAUACCCGCUGAACUUAAGCAUAUCAAUAAGCGGAGGA
RNAcentral lists this unclassified non-coding RNA (334 nucleotides) under soil metagenome. RNAcentral describes it as "partial contains 5.8S ribosomal RNA, internal transcribed spacer 2, and large subunit ribosomal RNA". The stretch from base 1 to 120 matches the Rfam family "5.8S ribosomal RNA", at positions 35 to 154 of the family's 154-position model. The record is from RNAcentral.